RNAcentral lists this ribosomal RNA (480 nucleotides) under uncultured bacterium. RNAcentral describes it as "partial 16S ribosomal RNA". It matches the Rfam family "Bacterial small subunit ribosomal RNA", at positions 899 to 1397 of the family's 1533-position model. The record is from RNAcentral.
ACUCAAAUGAAUUGACGGGGACUCGCACAAGCGGUGGAACGUGUGGCUUAAUUCGAUGAUCCGCGAAAAACCUUACCAAGGCUAGAAACCCAGCUGCAUCCUUUCAGAAACGUUAGGAGCCUUCGAGGGUGCUGGGCAGGUGAUGCAUGGUUGUCGUCAGUUCGUGGCUUGAGCUGUUCCCUUCAGUGGGGUAACGAACGCAACCCUCGUUGUCUGUUAUAUUGUCAGGCGAGACUGCCCCCUCACGGGGGAGGAAGGUGGGGAUGACGCCAAAUCAGCAUGUCCCUUGAUGCCUUGGGCUGCACACACGUUACAAUGGAUGGUACAAAAGGACGCAAUACCGCAAGGUGGAGCAAAUCCCAAAAACCAUCCCCAGUACGGAUUGAGGUCUGCAACGACCUCAUGAAGCCGGAAUCGCUAGUAAUCCUGAAUCAGCACGUCAGGGUGAAUACGUUCUCGAGUCUUGUACACACCGCCCGU